AAUUCCGCUCGACCUCCAAGUGAUGCCGGAAUUCCGCUCGACCUCCAAGUGAUGCCGGAGUUCCACCCGAUCUCCAAGUGACUCUGGAAUUUUGCUCGAAUACUAUAUAAUGUCGGAGUUCUCCCCAGCCACCAACUGAUGUCGGGCUUCUACCUGACGACGGACCUCCACUCGUCGUCAAAUUUCUACCUGACGUCGGACUUUUGCCUGUUGUCAGAUUUUUGCUGGACAAUCUAUCCGAUAUUGGAUUUCUGUCCAUGGAUGGACAUCUACUUGACGCCUUCCUUCUGACCUCCGUCGUUAGACAACAGUCCUUUCGACCUCCGUCGCCCGCCGACUACUGACCUUCAAACUUACGUCGUCUGCCGACUACAGUUCUUCCGACCUCCGUCACCUGCCGACUACAGUCCUUCAAACUUAUGUCGCCCACCGACUAUGGUCCUUCCGACCUCCAUCGCCCGCCGACUUCCGACCUUCAUCGCCCACCGACUACGGUCUUUCCAACUUACAUCGUACACCGACUAUAGUCAUUCAGACCAAACAAACACAUCAACAGUGAUACUUUGUAUUCUCACCAUGUAAUGUACUCUAUAAGAUGUACAUCAAGCUAAGGCCUUCCCCUGAGGAAGGACCUCAUUUGUAAUCAACUACAAUACUAGUGGAUUCAUUCAUACUGAGCCAGACCCCGUGAUUUUUCUCCCUUUUUAGUGGUUUUCCACGUAAAAAUCUUUGUCUCUAAUGAGUGACGCACACUCUCUCUUAUAUGAUUGCGUGCCGGAUUUUCGUACAACGCUAAGACGUUAAACGUUAUAUUUCUCUACCGCUGCGAAUAUAUAUAUAAAGACCUUCAAACUCAUACACUCAUUUGAUACACAAAAUUCAAAAUAUCUCUUAAUUAAUAAUAAAAACUCUAAAUCAAUAAAUCAUGAUAAGCCGCCUUAUAUUUUUUAAAUUAGAACCAAGAAACCCUCACUCUUUUUCUUUAACAACUCAUCCAGUAAAUUUCUCACUCUAAAACAAACCUAUAACAAAAUUUAUCCCUAUUGGUCCACGUCGUUACAAAAGGAUUGUUCGUUACAAUCAUUUUACUUAUGCAAGAAGAAUACUUUUUUUUUUCCUCUAUAAAUCGGGAAUGGGGAACUGCUUUCUCAGUUUUUUUUUUCUUCUGACAAAAAUCUUCUUUUUCCUCUAUAUUUUCCUAAGCAGAGAGCUUAUUAGCAACGUUUCUGACGUUCUGGAUUCGAUUCUUUUGGAGACUCUGAUGGAUAAGAGUAAGCUCGACGCCCAGCCGAGGCUCUUUUACUCCCUUCCGCUCCUUUUUCUUGAUCCAGAUUCCAUCAUGAGAUCAGGCGAGAAUUCACAUUUACAGAAGGUUUCCGAUCAUCGAUUGCAAUCCUUCCCUGAAACUGGGCGCUUCAACAGCGAAUCAAUCGAUGCCUAUAAUUAAUCUUCUUGAUACAGAGCUUUCCACCGGCGAGCAUUCAGAGUUUCUCUGUCUUUUUUUUCGGCAAUUCGUCCCCGUCGUCAUCAUCGGCGUCGGCGUCCUACAGAAAGACAUACAAGAACUCUGUUUGAUGAAGCAUGAAACUCAUGAGGAAGCUCACAGGAGAAGACAAAAUUGGUUGAAGUUAUUUGACAGGUAUAUUUCUCUUGUUAAAAUUUGAUAAAUUUAUCUUACUUUCAAAAUAUAUAGGAAGUCUUAAUCAUUUAGCCAUUUUGUUGAGAGUAUAUUACAUCAAAGUUAAUUCAAUAAAGAAAAUGCUUCGGCUUGGUUUGAGAC
Molecule: long non-coding RNA, 1780 nt
Organism: Dendrobium catenatum
Lineage: Eukaryota; Viridiplantae; Streptophyta; Magnoliopsida; Asparagales; Orchidaceae
Exons: 2
Source: RefSeq, a predicted model, not a curated record